RNAcentral lists this ribosomal RNA (250 nucleotides) under uncultured bacterium. Its description in RNAcentral is "partial 16S ribosomal RNA". It matches the Rfam family "Bacterial small subunit ribosomal RNA", at positions 337 to 601 of the family's 1533-position model. The record is from RNAcentral.
ACCUACGGGGGGCAGCAGUGGGGAAUAUUGGGCAAUGGGCGCAAGCCUGACCCAGCAACGCCGCGUGAAGGAAGAAGGCUUUCGGGUUGUAAACUUCUUUUGUCAGGGACGAAGCAAGUGACGGUACCUGACGAAUAAGCCACGGCUAACUACGUGCCAGCAGCCGCGGGAAUACGUAGGUGGCAAGCGUUAUCCGGAUUUAUUCGGUGUAAAGGGCGUGUAGGCGGGAAUGCCAGUCAGAUGUGAAAAC